Molecule: non-coding RNA, 11299 nt
Organism: Xyrichtys novacula (pearly razorfish)
Lineage: Eukaryota; Metazoa; Chordata; Actinopteri; Labriformes; Labridae
Source: the annotation of a GenBank genome assembly
AACCAUACAUGAGAAUGUCAUCAGGCGGUAGAGGAAGGUGCAGAUGCAGAGCUUAAGUUUCAUUUACUAGGAGAAUUAAAAAAAGAGGGAGGGAGAGUCUGAGGGGUGCUUUGCUUUAUUCAACACAGGGACAGAUAUUACAUUAUCAUUUCAUCAUGGCUUUCUGGCAAUAUGGCUUUUUCAAUCAGCGGAUACAGACAUUAUUUAUUCAUAGAUGCAUUUUUAAAAGGCACACAAGAUACAGCAUAGCCAGUCUCCACAGAGUUGACACAAUCAAAUAUAUAUGAAUAUAAUAUUAGUGUGAGAUGGGGGCGGAGUGGGGGUUGGAUAAAUGAAACUUUAUUCAUGUGGAGAACAAGAGGAAAAGAAAAAAGGGAUGAAAGUGGAGGACAAACACGACCACGCAUUUAUCCUUCCACUCGCGGCUUCACCGGGAUCUCGAUUCAGUUUGUCCGACGCCGCUUCUGCUGUCACUUUGUCUUAGUCUGAGUGAAGCUGUAGUGCUGGUGUCAAUUGUAUAUGUCUGUCUCUGUGUGUGUCUGUCUGUGUGUGUGUGUGUGGUCUGGCAGUAUAUCCUUGCUUUAAGGCAAGUGUCUCUUUAAUGAGGCUUUGCUGCAAAAGGAGCUCCCUAGGACUCUUGACGUGCUCUGCAUUUCAAACACACACUCUCCUGCAGCAUGCAGACCUCUGGCACAUCCUUUCCUUCAUCACUCUAACACACACACACACACACACAAAUUGCCUCACAGGUUGUGCGAUUGUGUGUAUUUGAGUGUGUUCCCCGCUGUGCCAAAGAAUUGAUUGGUGGGUUUCCUGAACAGAGUGAGGGCUUGUCAAUGAGAGACAACCUUUCUGAUGCAGUGUAUCUGUCUUCCUCUCGCUCGCUCACUCGUUCUCCCCCUCUCUCUCCUUCUUUCUCCUUCCUCCGUCUCCAUCUCCCACUGCGAUACUCUCUGACCUCAUGUUUAUGUAUCUCACUAUGUCGAGCUGUUCAUCAAUGCUACCGUCAAAGGUCCAACCUCUGUUCUCCGUUUUUCUCUCUGCUCGGCUCGCUCCCUUGCCGCAAAGGCUGGCAGAUAUGAAUAAUACAAAAAAAAAAAACAACAACUUGGAAGUAAAAGGAGAUUGCAUUUCACAAAUUCAACUAAAGAGCUGUUUGGAGAAUUUGCAAGACUCAAACUUAAAUCUUGAACCUGCAAGGGAAAGCUUCGUCUAAAGGGUGCUGGAAAGAGCUCAAAGGUUUUGGCAGCUUUGGCCACAUACUAGAUCGAAGGUGGAGGUUUUUUCUCGGUUUAGACAGCUUCAGCGGCUCGAUAAAUGUAAGGAAUGAGCUCAAACAUGACAAGUGCAUUUGUAGUUGAAGCAGGAAGGCUCACUUGUUUUCAGUUUCAAAGCCUCGGCAGGCCUGUUUUCACUUAUACAGAGCCCUGAUGAACUAACAUUUCAAGAACUGACUCAAGAUGCUAGAGGGACAAGUGCGGUCUUUCAGAGAGCGUGUGUUUGUGUGAUACCGCGCUUCAUUGUUUUUCAAGGAGAAUGAAGUGUUCACGAGCGGAGCAGCUCAUUAGUGGCCCCGCUGAAUUGCUCUUAAUGAAUGCUAUCAGCCUCUAAUGAAAAGUAUUGUUCUUGAGCACAACUAAAUCAAAAGGUGUUUAAAGCGCGCGCUCGCCGCCAGAAGCCCACAAACGCACUUCAUCAAUGAACGUUUGGCGAAGAGGUCUCUGAUGGCCACACAGCGCUAUGGUUACAGGGGCUAACAACCCCACGAGAAAUCAAACUCUCAUUUAGACCACAGCCACUGCUCAAUACCCGCUCUGUUAUCGACCAGCACCGAUGUGUGUGUGUGUGGAUGAGUUAGUGUGAAAGAGCAGGAGGUGGGGCAGGAUGAGGAGAAAAGACUGAGGGGAAAAAACAGGAGGAAAUUGAUUCACUCCCUCCUCACACACACCCCCCAUCCCCUUGAUGGUGGUUAUUUGGCAUCAGAUAUGUGGGUCUCCUGACCUGUUUACAGCCCCUGGUCAAUUAGAAAAGUUUUUCUCUGGUCGGAUAAAACACAAAGCCUCCCUUCCUCUCCAUUAUGAACAAACAAGAGUUAUAAACAGCAGCAGUGGCUGAAAGUGAAGUGUGUACGCUCAGAUAGCCCGGAGCACUCGCUGAGAGUUAUGGGAGUUUGUGUUAAAGUUGAUGAGAAAAAUAUUACAUCCAUCUCAAUGUGCGCAUCUUUUAACCUUCAGCCCACAAACUCUGAAGUCCACAGGAGAUUUUCAGCCUCUCAACUUGACAUAAAUUGGAUACUCUGCUGGCACAGUGUCUGCUGACUCUGCUGCUGGUUUAAAAUGUUCUUAUUGCCAUUAUAAAAUUCUGACAAUUAAAACCAUAAAGCAAAGACUGCUCCAACACCCAAACUGUGGCAUUAACGGUGACUGUUUCCAGGAAUCACAGCGACAAUGUCUAGACAAAUUGCACCAUGGCCUGUUUAUGGUGAUGUCAGCGAACCAAAGCUCCAAUGCUGCUCUGCUGUAAAAGUCAUAGACAUGGAACCUGGUGUUGUCAGACCCAACAGACGUUUCGUAAGCAGGUGGGUCUGGAAUUGCUGACACGCUCAAUGGUUUCCCAUCUGUGUCAGAAAAAACAGACCAAUUAGAUUUUACUAUUAAAAAUUUGGUUGGGUUCUACAAGUUGAACAUGCAGGAAGGCCUUUUUAGUGUUACUGAGUGUUACAGUCACUCAUAUAGUGUGCUAACCUGGGCUAACAUUAGCGUGAGCUAGUUUACCAGAGACGAAAGUUCUGUUACUACAUCGCUAAUGAAGAUUAAAAAAAUGUAGGUAAAGUUAGUAGAUUUAAAGCUUUGUUGACAUAGACCCCUUUGUUGAUCUUCUGGACCAGUGGUGGACUGGACCAUCGGGGCAUUGCCUGGCCUGCCACCAAAUUGUGUGCGUGUGUGUGCCAGCAGGUAGGCCACUGAACUUGGAAGCAGGCCAGCAGCAAGGGUUUAAUUAAUUAAUUUAUGUCCGUUGCCUUGGCAACACGUUGCUGGUGCUAAAGUAGGAAGUAGAGCUGUGAGGUGAUCGGCCGUGGAUGCGCUGAUUGAGCAUCGUUGUCUGCUCCGCUCCCGAGCUGAUGGUUUUUCUUUCUCUUCCUCCCCCUGAGGCAACAUCUUUAAGUGUUUUUCAUGCUGUUGCUCUAAGAUCUGAUUGUUUUGAGUUUGAUAAGGUCGCUGACCGACACCGAGAUGGCUACGAUGCUGGUGGUGCUAAUCCAAGUUUUAUGCCUCUCGAGAACUUUGACUUUUUCUGACAGGCUUUCAACAUUUAUCAUAAUACAACAGCAAUGUGGAAGGCUACACUCUUAGUUUAAAUGAGUAAACAAAUAGUUAAAGGCAUGUAGCCAAUGUUGAAUUCUUCACAUUAGAAUUAUAUUCACUAAAUCUGGCUUCAAAUGUCCAAAACUUUUCGCCGGUGCUGGCAUUUAAGUGUCAAUGUGUAUUGGCCUGGCCUGGAUGGAGUUAAACUCCUGGCCUGAAUUUUGGUCCCAGUCUGCCCCUGUUCUGGACGUUAAGUUGGCUGUGAGGUCUGCCACACAACUUCAUCCAUAGCAGACAUUCACUUUGGUCUUUCUUUGGUCUUGGAAAUGGAAUGAAAUACACCCCAUUGCCCAUCCUGUUGGGCUACCUUGUGUCGGUAUUACAUCUACCCCAUGCACACCUUUUUUACCAUGUUUCUUUCUGUUCUAUUAAAAUUAACGCCAUAAAACAGAUAAAGAAUUACGACUUCUAAUGCUUCUCUACAGAUAUCCGAGUUAACAGCCAUUACACAUGAACUGAAAAUACUUUUCCAGAUACACGAUGACUGCAUUGUUGGAGGGAGAAGCAGAUUCAUCCUUAGUGUUAUUUGUAUUCGCUCUGUCUACUCAAGAAAUGCAGGUGUGAAAAACCAGCAGGAAUAAAACUACAAGGAGAAACAAGCUACACAAUCCACUUAGAUUUCUGUGUGUUUGCUGACUCACAGGGUGGGUGAAUAGAUCUUUACCCACUGACAGCUUCUAGUUGAGGGCACACAUACCGCAUAUGCAAAGUCCAUGUGACACAGAAAGCUGUGCCAUCUAAAAAUCACCUGUAGUCUUCCAGAAAAGGAGAGUGUGCCUUUUUUGCUGCCUGUAUGUGAUUCAGGCAGCAAACGUCUCUUGUAAAACUUGAGUAUGAAUUUGUCCUGAGGAAUGAUGGUUGAACCUCUCCAUCACCUGCGCUGACACCACCUUCACAGAGUCUUUUGGUACUGAGGUCUUAAAUUUCCAUCAGUUAUGUCUCGCUGCCAUUUGGGCCUGUCACCAUGUUAAAUUGCCAGGUACGGCUUUAACAGCAAUUUAUAAAUAAAUUCUACCCGACUUAAUUUCAUCACUCCUCAGGCAUCGACCUCCACUCUCGAGGGUGUCAGAAUUGCUUUUCCAUCACGAACAGAGUAUUUGGGGUUGGCAGGAGAACACAAACUGAGAUAGGAUUUGUUGGGUGGGGGGGUGAGUGUUGGUAAUGAACAUGGCGCAGACCCGAGGUUGGCACAGCGGGCUGCAAUCUAAUCAUUGCUGCACCUUAUUUUCAUCCAGACGUGGGGGAGAAUUAUCCAUUUAAAGCCGUCAGUUUUAUCUCCCAAUCACACAGCUUAGAUCUGCACCACGGACACUUUGUUAAGCACCUAGAUGUGUCCAAUCAGCCGGCGUAGGAGGCCUGUCAGCGUGAGUUUGCACAUGAGUGUGAUUGAAUGUGUACGGGUGCUUUCAGUUGGUUAAAGCUCUCUAAUCAGUGGCGUUUGAGUGCGCGCGGGCGGCUCGUAUUGCCAUGUGAUGUCCUUAGACUGGCACAAAUUGGCAAUCAGGUGAGGUUGGCAUGGGCGAGGGUCUCUCCUCUCCGGGAUCCUGACUCCAAUUGGCCCUUUCUCUCCUUUUCCAUCCUCUCAUCUCUCUCCUCUUCCAUCACCAGAGCGGUUUUAACUUGACCCGGACAGGUGCUCCUGACAAAACCCAUUACAGUCUCAAUUACGCUAUAUACCUCCCUCUGCUUCCUUUUCGGCAGUUUUUUUCCCCUCUUCUGUCUGCUUUCCUCUCCGUUGUUUCCUCCUCUGAUGCUCAGGGACUGGUGGGCGCUCUGAGCGGUCUGCGUUGGUGCUUCCCUCCAGACUCUAUUGCCGGUCUAUCAAUGCCUUGCUUCUCGGUUCAACUAAUUAGCCUUGGUGGGACCAUCACCAUCCUCCUCAUUACAAAAACAGAACAGAUGUGGGUGAGGGAAGGAGAGGGGAAUGGAAGGACAACAGACUAAUGCACAGGAGGACAUGCUGGAGGGGAAAAGAGCUGCAACAGUGCCAGAGUUGAGGGUUUCAUUCCCUAAAGGACAGUGCCAGGACAGACAUGAUUUUAAUUGCUUGUAAAGGUGUUCGAUGUUGGCAGACAGGAACUCCUUCAAUGCCACAACAAAGUACUCUCAGAGGAAGAUGAUGAUGAAGAGAUCAAGCCUGAGACUAAUUGUAAUCAAACUCGCACUUUUAAGCUGGUAGAACUCAUGAUUAAUUAUACUUUUAAAAUGUGAUAAUGGUAAAAGGCACACAGAUGCAAUGUCAUGAAAUACUGGUGUCUGGGUAGAAUCAAACUGGGGAUGUUGCAGCUGUAUUGCAUAUCUUAAAACAACAACCAUGGGAUUAGUUUCUUUUUUUUCUUCUCAAAACUAUGAGGCGCUAACUACAAUGCACUCUUUUAAGAUAAGAGAUCCCAGCAAGAUUGAUAUCAGCAACCUGGAGCAAUUUGUUCUUUUUUUGGCAAUAACUUCUUUUCUCAAACAAGUUAUAAAUGUAGGACAAUUCACCCUGGAAUUCAUUUUGACAUGUUUACAAAUCAAAAUAACACCCACCCACUGAGGAGGCCCUGAGCGCUCCAGGAUGUUGCUCCUCUUUUUGAAACGUGAGACUGACACUGGCACUGACUUGUUUGGAUUCCUUCCACUGCUUUCACUAAUCCUUAUCAUAUGUCAUCAAUUUUUCUGAUGAAACCAUUUUCAUGAACCGUGCCCUGUUUGCUUCCUUUGUUUUUACACAGACGGUACAUUUUUUCCUUAAAGUACUUUUGUGUUGCAAAGCUGCCCAAACCACACACCACAGUCUUCUCUUCCCACUGCACAGCCUAACAAAGGCCAUUCAUGGACUCUAACAUACAAAUUGACUUUAGCCAGUUAACCAACUUAUUCAUGGGUGGACUUAAAGCAGUGAGCAUAUUUGUAGGAUGCUACUCACAAAUGUACAGAUGUUAUGUGGAAAAUGAGGGAGCGUGGCUGUAACCACUCUGCCGGGCAACGUUGCACAAAGGCCAAGAAACUCCAACAGCAGAGUAUAAAGGCGCAACCAGCCAGAUCAGCUCGGGGCCCAGCACCUGUUGAAGACGCCACACAACGGCAAGUCCACUUCGACAAAUUACAUUGCACUGGUCAAAUUUCCUCAGUUAAAAGCCCCUAGUGGUUUUCUUUAUUUCCAUUUGUUCAUUUAAUUGACCUCAAAAUGUUCUCCUCAUAUAAUACAGAGAAUUACAACUUACUGUACUGUAAUUUUUAGAUGGCUUUAAUUGUAUAUGUUAACUUUUCUAAAGGAAAAAGAAAAAAAAUUAGCAGGAUCUCCGUUUUUCAAUAGUCUGACUGUCGUAAGUCCCCUUUGAUAAGUAGCAAUAGAUUGCUUCGUAAAAAUUCGUCCAUGUUUUCUCCAAAGAACUACAUUCCCAUGAAACCUAAUCCGGCGAAAAUCACUUCUGUAAUGUACAGAGCAACCACAAUCUAUGACGUCAUCUGAACCAACUUCAGCCAAUCAUAUAGCGUAAUGUCAUCAAUAGGCGCCAGACCCUGAGCAGAUCUGGCGACCCCAAUCACAUCUGGUACCUACACCAGCAAAAGUGAAAAUUGUGAUUGAGAUUUUUAGUUUUUUCUAAGGAUGCUGACACCAUUAUUGAGACUCCUUAAUAACCUGAGUCCCUAUCAAAACCACCAUUGAGUCUUUUCUGUCAUUGUUUUCCUUCAAACGGGUUUAUUUGUGCAGAUUUUUCAACCAAAACUACUUUUUCUUUUUCUGAACCUGACAUUUGAACAGAUCAUGACAAGGUAUCAUUUACUUUGGUCUAAUUCUAAUUUUACGAACUCUGACCCUGAACACCUCACAGUGUAAUUACGUUGCUGCUUUCCAGUUUACCUCAGAAGUUGGAGCUGGGAAUGACGUCACACCAAGUUAUCAGCAUCUCAGUUACAAAGUCGGAAUAAAGUAGCCAAUGGCAGAAAACGGAAGCGGAAACAAGAUGGCUACAUCUAUGAAAGUUAUUCUCGCGCUUGCCUCAUCCGAAUAUAGACAACUUCUAGACAAAUAUGCAGUCCUUCUGCAACCUGCAAACAUGGGUGGAUGAAGAGGACACACAAAGGCGCAGAAGGUAGCCUGUUUUUUCUCAUUACAGGAGCUUCUACUUACUGUUUACAACUGGCGCCGCCAUCUUUAAAUGUCAACUCAGGGGGUUGUGUCGAUCAUCUGACAUUCUGAGUCGGAAAACUGAUGGCCGUUCCAGUUGAACGUACUCGGAAAUCCCGACUUCCGAUUACGACUGGAACGCACCAUUAUCAGUCACCUCCAUUAGUUAGCUUGUUAGCUUGGAUCAGGAUUUGAAACUACAGGACUUGCUCUAAAGGUUUGGCUGUGCUGACCCUUCAGCUUUGGUAUUAUGUAGACUCACUUUGGAUCUCCUCACUGGACCUGACCUGAUUUCUUCUCCUUCAUAACUGUUCGCUGCUCCAACACUUUGUUAGACAGUCUAUUAACAUGUGUGAUUCAAUUAAGAUGAUGCGGUCGAGGUGAAAGUAUGACUUUACUCCAUGGGUCCUUUGAGACUGAUAAGCUCAAAUGUUGCUGGGAAGCUGAGAAAGAGAGUGUGUAUUUACAUCUUAAGAUAAACUGUCUAGAAAUUUGAUGUUUCUGAAAAUGUUGAACUUCCUUUAAACUCUGAACAGCCCCCCUGUGAUCCUUGAUUUUGUACCUUUCUGAGCUCUUUCAUAACAUUAAUUUAUGCAUGCACUCAUUAUACAGGAAAGGGCUUUGGAUAGAACAGCAUACAUUAAUAUAAUAAUAUUAACCAACCCAGAUGUGGUCGUGUCUCUUUGCUCUCACCAUCUUUUCUCAGAGAGGGGGAGGGCAGCGAGCUGUUGAAGGAGACGAGUGAGAGGUGUGGGGAGGAGCGAGUGAUGAAUCUCCCCGUCUCUAAACUCUCCGCUUCAUCGGCUCUUCCCUCGUUUCUGACCCAAAUCUAAUGCGACAGGACUCGUUUUCACUGCCCCCACCCACCCACACGCACACACCUCCUCACACCUCUCCUCCUUCGCCGCCGUUGCAGUCGCUGUGCACCACCCCUCUAUUUUUAGCUGUUUGUCCUUGAGCUACAAUCCCUGAAAAUUUCCAUGAUCCAUAAAGGACUGGGGCUGUGGUGCUUGUGAGAAAACACUCGCACCCACCCCCUGCCGAGAGCAUCCUCCCCUCGGCCCACUCACUCCGCACGUGUGUGUGUGUGUGUGUGUGUGUGUGUGCAAGUAUGAGCAACAGAUCGUUCACAAUUUCAAGUCUUUCGCCAUUACUGGAGCGAAUAUUCCUCUCAUUAAAGAGGUGAAAUGGAGGGAGCGUUAAACGAGUGAAAUGCCGACAGAUUGGGCCGUUCUUUCUCUGCCCCCCCAGCACACACACACACACACACACAGACACACACACACUCAUACGUUCACACUCAUCCCCUGCCUCAGAAAGUUAUCCACUGUAGCCAAUUAGCAUGACUGCUCUGUCUAGCAUUACCCCCCUCUUCCAUAUCCAAAUCUCACUCUCAUUACCGUCUUUUCCUCUCUUCCUCCACUAUCCUCCUCCAGCCCCUCUUCUCAUUCUCUCUCUUUCUCAUUAGAGCUGCGUCGUAACACACUGAAUCAUAAUAGGUGCUCUACACUGUGAAAUGGCUUUAGCUUUGUCUCAUUUCGCCGCUUGUAGCAGCAGAAUGAGUAAACAGACAAUCUAUUCCACCCAGGCACAGACACACACCGACAGACACAAUCAGAGACGUCCAUUAAUCUGUCGUAAAGCAGCUUUUGGCCCGCCUGAAGAAAUCCCUGAUAUUCGGUGUCAGAGAAACAGAGAGUGGGGGCUAAUCUACGGGGGGCUGCAAUGCAAGGCUGUGUCCCGUCCACUGAUAACAAACAGGCGAGCCAGACGGAGAAAAGAGUCUACGGGGAGGUGUGAAAGGAGGAGAAAUGGCAGAAGGAGAAGGGGGGAAUGAGGUGGAAGAGGCCAAAAGGUAGAUGGAGAGGAGCAAGAGGAUGGAUGAAGGGCAGGAGCAAAGUGCGGCAGGGGAGGAGGAGGGGGGGGCGGGGGGCGGGACGGCGGCGGCGGCACCGAUGCGUAUUCUAAGCCCUGAAUGUAAAUAUGCGUGAGGGGAUUAUCACAGAGUGCCAGGCGGCGCUUUUGGGGCUUUGUUUCCGUGACACCAUGACGUUGGCUUUGUUUCCCUGACAGCAGACGUGUGUGUAUGUGUGUGUCAUUGUGUGUGUCAUUGUGUGUGUUUGUGUGUGACAUCCAGGCAUCUGUUUCCUGCUGGAAAAGGUUAAUUACAUCUCCACUGCCUGACUGGACGUGCCAUGCAUAAUCACACGCGCUAAUGAGAGGAGCAUAUGUGUGUGUGUGUGUGUGUGUGAGUGUGGGUUUAGAAAAAGUCGCUCCGGAGCCGCUGAAUAGAUAUCUUCACCACUUGUUUCACUUUUGAAAGUCUUUUGUUGUAGCGAAGAAGAAACAGACACACUCUCAGAGUCAGACACUCACACAGGUGACAGCUGGAGGCGCACCGCACCGCAGUGGCAUUUACGGACAGACACUCCACUCCCACAGGAGGACAUUAAUGGAUGGGCCUGCAUUAGUGUGAGUGUGUGUUUGUAAUUACUUUUCUGCCUAAUAAUGAGACGGUGAUGCUACGGCAUCAGAGGAGGGACUUCUCACAAACCCUGUUGCUCACUCUGACCCUUGACUCCUAUCUUCACACUCCAGCUAAGCUGCUGAUUGGACAGCUGCUCGGCUUUAGAUUGGGCCCAGCUCAGCGUGAAAAACGAGAUGGGCUCCAGCCCUCCAUGGGUGACUUUGGAAAUUACUGUACACCUUCUCACUCAGCUGAAGUUCUCACUAAGUUGAUCUGACAUAAGCAGGUAGUUGAGGAGCUGCAGAGCUCUGCUGGGCCUCGGUUCCAAUUUAGCCUCUGUGGAGUCGCGAAUAAGGAGGAGAACAGAGAGACGUGGUAUCACUGAGAGGUGUGAAUGGAAGAAUAAUGGAUUUCUGGGGCCUGUUUUCACUUCACUCCUGAUUCAGAACAGCAGCUAUGGCAAAACAUGAGUCAAACAGAUCGGAAAAUGUGCUUUUGGAAUCAGAUCAGCAGAAGCUAAAAUCUCCAUGAGAUCCCGAGGGUAAAUUAGGGGAUGGGUAACAGGGAUGGGCUCAGGGUUCACAAGCUUUUACUUUCAACGGCUUGAAUGAUCUGGAGGAAUAUGGCUCUAGACAGCAAAGUGGUUGUUGGGUUUGAGCAGUUUCAAAAGUAGAAAAGGUGUUUAACCUGAAACCUCAGCCAGUCAGUAUGUUUACAUGCAGUUAAGUUGAGCCAUGUUUGGACCACACUCCUCGUCCCGCUUGACAAUCUCCGGACAAGAAUCGAAUUGUUGACGGGAGCAUUGGGGGGUUUGUAGACAGGCUGGGGAUGCAUAUUAUUCUGGUAUUAUUCUGGUAAGAAAACCAUUCUAAAGUUCACUUUGCAUAAUAUGGGACCUUUAACUAUGUUGGUCCAACUAUGAGAAGUUUGAUUUACUGCAAUCUUAGUCGGACCAACGUGUUAACAUGUCCUUUUAUAAUCUCAUUUCACUUGGACUAAUGCAGUAAGCUGAUCAUUUGAACAACAUGUAAACAUACUGACUGAAAUAUUGAGUAAAAAUUGCAAAGAUCCGUUGAUUAUGGCUUUGAAUAAUAGCUUGUGUAUGCUAAAGCCCCUUUUUCAUCUCUGCUUUGGCAUCUAUACAUGACAUCAGACAGUCAGUGCUGAGCAGCAGUAACCUGGGAUUUACAUUCCAGACUGUAAAAAGAGAAAACCCUGAUCAGGUGAGACAGAGUCAAACUUGGGUCUCCUGGUCCCUCCAUUGUUCUUCCUCUUCACUCUCCUCUUCCUCCACUUGCUCUUUUUUCUUCUUCUUCCGUCUUCUGCAGAAGCCGUUCAGGCCACAGAAGCAGG